CUUCACGUGUGGCUAUGCCAAACACACACAGAUAAUCUGUUGAACAAUCCUCUGCAAUCCACUUGAGCAGUGUGACAUCGAGUGUAACAUUCACUGACUGACAUCCCUGUUGUGCAGUCGUUUCACUUGAUCAGCGGGUCGCGGGGGGUGCUGGAGCCUAUCUCAGCUGCAUUCUGGCGGAAGGCGGCGUACACCCUGGACAAGUCCCCACCUCAUCCCAGGGCCAACACAGAUAGACAGACAACAUUCUCUUAUUAUUAUAAUCAAAUGACAGCAGUCAUUUCCAUGAGAUUAUUUUCUAAUAUAAGUGUUUAGGCCCACUUACAAUGACAAUAACAAAAAAUAUUGUUUUUCAUGAGCUGUGUACUUGUAUUGUUUGUCUGGGUGGAGGUCCUGCUUUGGAAAUAAUUUGUACCCCUUUCAGACAUUGCAUUUAGUUCCCAUUAAAACAUUCACAUGUUGCACAAUGAGAUGUACCGUAUUUUCCGCACUAUAAAGCGCAUCGGAUUAUAAGGCGCACCUUCAAUGAAUGGCAUAUUUCAAAACUUUGUUCAUAUAUAAGGCGCACCGGAUUAUAAGGCGCACCUAUGUCAACAAAACAGUCAGAUAGGUCAGUCAAACUUUAUUAAUAGAUAACAAACCAGCGUUCUGACAACUCUGUUCACUCCCAAAAUGAAUAAACAGCUGAUUUACUCGUGUUACGUAAAUCAAACGUGCAAUCACAAUAUAGUAACACGUGAAAUAGUGCAGAGCAAUAACAAUAUAUCAAUAACUCAACGUUGCUCAAACGUUAAUGUCACACAACACAACACACUAAAUAAAAAUGUAAAGCUCACUUUAUGAAGUUAUAGCUCAUUCACAAAUCCCUCGAAUUCUUCCUCUUCAGUGUCCGAAUUAAACAGUUGAGCGAAUACGGCAUCCAACAUGGCCGGCUCCGUCUCGUCGAAGUCGUCAUUAAUGGAGUCAGUGUCGUUGCCGUUUAUUAGUUCAGUGACAAUUCCUGCCUUCCUGAAAGCUCGGACCACAGAUGAGACUGAAUCAGCCCAGGCAUUUACGAUCCACUGGCAGAUAGUGGCGUAUGUCGUCUGGCGCUGUCUCCCUGUCUUGGUGAACGUCACGUGUGUUCGCCUUCUGUCAUCCACUGUUCCCACGCAGUUAGCAGUCUAGCUUCAAAUGCCCUGUUGACACCAAUAUCUAGCGGCUGGAGGUCUUUUGUCAAUCCACCCGGAAUGACGGCGAGUAUUGAAUUAAGCGCGUAAGCGUGUCUCUUAAUGUGAUGUUAUGAGCUAGCAAAUAUAACAACUACACUACCCAGCAUGCAACGAUAGUGACGAGCAUGCGCGGUAGCCCUGAGAAGCGUUGUAUGCUGGCAGUUAGAAUGUGGUUAUGAGCACGCUGUGAGUAAACGUUGAGAACUCAGUUAACACGCCUCGUCUGCAUUAUUUAUAAUUAGACAGACAACACACUUAAUAGGAGCCAUUUUGGGGUCUUUACAUAAACACACAAAUGGAAAUGAAAUGUCACAUAUCCCAGCAUGCACCGCGCGCUUCUUCUUCUUCUACGGGGAAAAAAGAUGGCGGCUGUUUACCGUAGUUGCGAGACCGAAACUUUAUGAAAAUUAAUAUUAAUAUUAACCCAUAUAUAAGGCGCACCGGAUUAUAAGGCGCACUGUCAGCUUUUGAGAAAAUUUGUGGUUUUUAGGUGCGCCUUAUAGUGCGGAAAAUACGGUAAGCAAGGGUUCAUGUGUACAUUGCUGCAACUUCCUGUUUGUAAAGAAAUAUAUUUUUAUUAGUAUUUAUUUAAUAUACUAACAGCAUUUCAUGAUUAAUAUUUAUAAAUUAAGAUUCCUAAUAAAUGACACUAGAAUAAGCACACAUUUGAUUGGUAAAUCAUAGUGUAACGACCUGGAAUGACACUUUGUGUGGUGUUGGAGUUGUCCAACUUUUUGUGUGGCUGUAAACGCAUCACUGGCUAAGUGCCAUAUGUGCAUGUGUUGGCGCAAGUGAGAAAGAGCGAGCGGCUGCUGUUGAUAUAACAAAGUUGCUUUUGGUCUGGUUUGUACUGCAGAAAAUGACCACUUUUGCUAGAUAUAAUUUUUUUUACUAAUGUCUUGGUGAUGUGUUUAUGGCCGACAAUAAAGAGUUUUGCUCAGUAAAAUGAUGGAUGGAAUUCAUGUCCUCAAAGCGUCUCGACAGACGUUACAAUAUUUGAACAAUGAUGACGAAAAAUGUUUUCUCUGUCUUGUCCGUGUGUCGAAAAUUGUUAUGCGCUUAUUUUUUUUAUUUGAUUUUGUGCGUGGCAUAGAUUUGCCGUGCGCAGAGGACACUUGAGCAGUGCGCAAUUGCACAGGCGCGCACCUUAGAGGGAACGUUGCCCUGGACAAGUCGCCACCUUAUCUCAGGUCCAA
Molecule: long non-coding RNA, 2407 nt
Organism: Nerophis lumbriciformis (worm pipefish)
Lineage: Eukaryota; Metazoa; Chordata; Actinopteri; Syngnathiformes; Syngnathidae
Source: RefSeq, a predicted model, not a curated record